UGGCAUCACUGCUGCAGGUCAAAGUCACUGAACUGCCCUCCACUAUUUCACCAGAGGGACUGACUGACACUGAGGUGUUCUUUGGGCCGUCUGGUGGACAAUAUGUAACAACAGUGUAUUAAAUAGUGUUUUUCUUGUUAUUGAAAUAUGAAUUUAAAUGUGAUCCUCUGAUUAAAGAUGAGGUGAACUUACACUGAACGUCCACAGACACAGAAGAAGAGUUGAGACGUCCAUAUUUAUUCUCAGCCUCACAGUAAUAUUCUCCUCUGUCCUCAGAGAUGAUGUUAGUGAUGCUGUAACUCUGUCCUGAUGCUUUUGGUGAGGUUACGUUCUUCUGGUACCAGGUGUAUUUGUCCACAGAGAUGAUGUUAGUGAUGCUGUAACUCUGUCCUGAUGCUUUUGGUGAGGUCACAUUCUUCUUGAACCAGGUGUAUUUGUCCACAGGUGUAUUUGUCCACAGGUGGGUUGGCAUCACUGCUGCAGGUCAGAGUCACUGAACUGCCCUCCACUAUUUCACCAGAGGGACUGACUGACACUGAGGUGUUCUUUGGGCCAUCUGGUGUUGAAGAUGACAGAACAAAUAAGAACCCAUAUACCAUACGUAGGAUCCAUCUCCAACAGGAUAUCUAAGAGGAAACAUCAGUCAUAUUUGACUCCAGACUGGCUUGUCAUGUGAUUAGACUUGUCCUAUUACAGUAAUAACUGUAGGUGAAGUAUUACCUGUGACAGUCAACAUCACACCAGGAAGACCAGAAAAUCUCCCCUUAUCUGUUGUUAUUAAUCUGAAUUUGUAUUCAGCCGAGUCCUUCUCUGUCAGGUGUGUUAUUGUCAUGGUGUGGUGGUUCUCUGUGUUCCUAUUGUACUCCACACGACCUGCAGACCCUGGAUAUGACCUGACAUCUACAGGGUCUUUCUGUGUAAACCAGAAUGAACCUUGUUCUAUAUAACUAGUGGGAUGAGUGUAAGAGGAGGAUAUGUCCACUGUGGAGCCCUUCAAGACACAGAUUCUCCUCUUGGUGUAAGUCACCCUCCAGCAGUUGUGACCCUGAACACCUGAAUCAGAAAGAGGCUCUCUGUUAAUAGUUUUAACUUUUCAUGUCUUGUUUCUGUAGUUGCAAAGUAAAGAAGUAAACUGUUCAUUUCAAGUCAUUUCAGUAUAAAUCAUAACCAUUUGAGCUGUUGGUAUUGCUAGAGUGAAACACUGUGUUUGAAUCAACACUUUUUCCCCCACUUACACACUGCAGGAGAGGGGAGAUCCUCAUGGCCUUUUACAGCACAGGAGAAACUAUCGUCAUAGUUACUGGAGACUGGGUCUUUGUACUGGGGGGAGGUGCUCUCAUCUAGAUGUUGUCCGUUCUUGUACCAGAUGUAUGUGGGGUUGUCAGUCAGAGUACAGGUGGUGCUACAGAUUGAUAUACAGGGCAACUAAAACAUUAUGAAUGAGACCAUACCUGCUACAGACCAGAGAAAGACCACCAACACACUUCCUGCUGUUCUCAAGGCCAUUGUUGCAUCUCCCACCCUGCAGUCUUAGAAACAUAA
Long non-coding RNA from Oncorhynchus tshawytscha (Chinook salmon), 1542 nucleotides. RefSeq lists it as uncharacterized. NCBI's taxonomy places the organism in Eukaryota, Metazoa, Chordata, Actinopteri, Salmoniformes, Salmonidae. The record is from RefSeq and is a predicted model, not a curated record. The transcript is spliced from 5 exons.